GGAGAGGUGUCCGAGCGGCUGAAGGAGCACGACUGGAAAUCGUGUGUGGGGCCUAAGAACUUCACCGAGGGUUCAAAUCCCUCCCUCUCCGCCA
Molecule: transfer RNA, 94 nt
Filed under: Nitrospirota bacterium
Lineage: Bacteria; Pseudomonadati; Nitrospirota
Also listed under: 1 other name
Description: Nitrospirae bacterium (sediment metagenome) tRNA-Ser
Rfam family: tRNA
About the family: Transfer RNA (tRNA) molecules are approximately 80 nucleotides in length. Their secondary structure includes four short double-helical elements and three loops (D, anti-codon, and T loops).
Source: RNAcentral